GGGUCAGUAGGUUGGUCGUGCCACCGGUACGUACUGGUCUCACUGAUUCCUCCUUCCUGAAGAACCGUAAUGCCAUUAAUUUGGUGUUGCGGGGAAACAGGACUGUUACUUUGAAAAAAUCAGAGUGUUUAAAGCAAGCUGACGCUUGAAUACAUUAGCAUGGAAUAAUGAAAUAGGACGAUCGAUCCUAUUUUGUUGGUUUCUAGGAUUGACGUA
Molecule: ribosomal RNA, 216 nt
Filed under: Glomeromycotina sp.
Lineage: Eukaryota; Fungi; Glomeromycota
Description: partial small subunit ribosomal RNA
Rfam family: Eukaryotic small subunit ribosomal RNA (bases 40-216)
Source: RNAcentral